Molecule: ribosomal RNA, 393 nt
Filed under: uncultured bacterium
Lineage: Bacteria
Description: partial 16S ribosomal RNA
Rfam family: Bacterial small subunit ribosomal RNA
Source: RNAcentral
AUACGGAGGAUCCGAGCGUUAUCCGGAUUUAUUGGGUUUAAAGGGUGCGUAGGUGGUUUGAUAAGUCAGCGGUGAAAGUUUGUAGCUUAACUGUAAAAAUGCCGUUGAAACUGUCGGACUUGAGUGUAAAUGAGGUAGGCGGAAUGCGUGGUGUAGCGGUGAAAUGCAUAGAUAUCACGCAGAACUCCGAUUGCGAAGGCAGCUUACUAAGCUACAACUGACACUGAAGCACGAAAGCGUGGGGAUCAAACAGGAUUAGAUACCCUGGUAGUCCACGCAGUAAACGAUGAUUACUAGCUGUUUGCGAUACACAGUAAGCGGCACAGCGAAAGCGUUAAGUAAUCCACCUGGGGAGUACGCCGGCAACGGUGAAACUCAAAUGAAUUGACGGGG